Trematomus bernacchii (emerald rockcod) is the source of this 484-nucleotide long non-coding RNA. RefSeq lists it as uncharacterized. The record is from RefSeq and is a predicted model, not a curated record. The transcript is spliced from 3 exons. NCBI's taxonomy places the organism in Eukaryota, Metazoa, Chordata, Actinopteri, Perciformes, Nototheniidae.
GUGUGCUCCACAUCCAACCCACAUCAUGGGAACGCUAUCAAUAUGACAGCAUGGAAAAAACUACACAACAGCUAACAGCCCACGGGACAGCUCUGCCUGGUGAUGCGAGACACUCCGUGGGUUCGGGAGAGGAUCGGCCUGCCGAGAGACGACACCAGCUGUGGGCGGAGCCUCGCCCUGACCCUGGUGCCGUUGGUGAAGGUCUGCCUCCUCUCCAGCCCCGCACAGGAGCGCCCGUCUCCAAGCAGCACAGUACCCAGAGGGCACUGGCACCUGAAGCUGCCAGGCACAUUACGGCACUGGAAGGCACAGGGGUUUGGCGUCUGCUGGCACUCAUCAACGUCUGAAAGGAAGAACAAGGCUCAUAUUAUUCUGUGUGUGUGAGUCAAUGGAAAUGAACUACAGUUAGAAUACAAGUGUAAGGAGAGAGUCUGAAAUGAUAACUGUCCAUCCCUGGAGGCUCCAAAAUAAAAAAAUGUUUUGU